This 571-nucleotide long non-coding RNA is filed under the name Theobroma cacao (cacao). RNAcentral's name for it is "long non-coding RNA (TCAC_LNC002038)". The record is from RNAcentral. Lineage: Eukaryota; Viridiplantae; Streptophyta; Magnoliopsida; Malvales; Malvaceae.
UUCUAUUGGUCUCUAGGAGUUUACUCUCCCAUUUCAAAUCAACCUAUCUAAGAGCUUGUGUAUCCCAAAGUGAGGAGUAGGUUGUGAGUUUUAAUUUAGGGUCUAUAUAAACAAUAAAAACUACCUAUUGUGUCUAUAGGCUCGUAACUAAGCAUAGACGCAAUAACACGGGCUAAGGGUAGUUUCGUCAUUUCUUUAAAAAGCCCCUAAAAGUAAGUUUUAAACAAUAUUAAGGCCUAAGGCAUAAAUGAAUGAUGAAAAUAUAAGUAAAAUGACAAAGAAAAUAAAAAUGAUGAUGAUUCCCAAGGUAGGGGCAAAAUGGUCAUUUUUCACCUCAGGUCAAAAUUUUUAAGUUUUGUGAACCCGAGCAUUUCUAGACCAUUAUGGACUUGUUUCGGUAUUAAAAUAAUGGAAAGAUUGCAUAAAGGGUUGAAGGAGAACAAGUUAACUUGUGAGGGCAUUUUGGUAAUUUAAGUGGAGUGGAUAAGCUUAGGCUAUAAAUAUCUCUUUCUUCCAGUAGCUUCUUCUCCCAUUUUCCAGCAGCUUCUUUUUCUUCUUUUGUCACGACCCG